GUGGGGAAUAUUGGACAAUGGGGGGAACCCUGAUCCAGCCAUGCCGCGUGUGUGAAGAAGGCCUUUUGGUUGUAAAGCACUUUAAGCGAGGAGGAGGCUACCGAGAUUAAUACUCUUGGAUAGUGGACGUUACUCGCAGAAUAAGCACCGGCUAACUCUGUGCCAGCAGCCGCGGUAAUACAGAGGGUGCAAGCGUUAAUCGGAUUUACUGGGCGUAAAGCGCGCGUAGGUGGCCAAUUGAGUCAAAUGUGAAAUCCCCGAGCUUAACUUGGGAAUUGCCUUCGAUACUGGUUGGCUAGAGGAUGGGAGAGGAUGGUAGAAUUCCAGGUGUAGCGGUGAAAUGCGUAGAGAUCUGGAGGAAUACCGAUGGCGAAGGCAGCCAUCUGGCCUAAUACUGACACUGAGGUGCGAAAGCAUGGGGAGCAAACAGGAUUAGAAACCCCUGUAGUCC
This 451-nucleotide ribosomal RNA is filed under the name uncultured bacterium. RNAcentral's name for it is "partial 16S ribosomal RNA". It matches the Rfam family "Bacterial small subunit ribosomal RNA", at positions 354 to 796 of the family's 1533-position model. The record is from RNAcentral.